RNAcentral lists this small nuclear RNA (107 nucleotides) under Salvator merianae (Argentine black and white tegu). Lineage: Eukaryota; Metazoa; Chordata; Lepidosauria; Squamata; Teiidae. The record is from RNAcentral.
GUGCUCGCUUCAGCAGCACAUGUACUAAAAUUUGAACAAUACAAAGAAGAUUAGCAUGGCCCCUGCACAAGGAUGAGAUGCAAAUUUGUGAAGAUUCCUUACUUAAA